Long non-coding RNA from Alosa alosa (allis shad), 1045 nucleotides. RefSeq lists it as uncharacterized. NCBI's taxonomy places the organism in Eukaryota, Metazoa, Chordata, Actinopteri, Clupeiformes, Clupeidae. The record is from RefSeq and is a predicted model, not a curated record. The transcript is spliced from 3 exons.
CCUUAGCACGCGGGGCACCAAACACACUGCGCGCUCUGUUUGGUCUCCAACACAAGUGCGAAUCAGCAUAAUUGCACUAAUUGCAGCCAAUUUCUUGGUGAAUGGAGUCGCAGGGACAAGAAUAUCUCACGGUCCUUAUGCACGAGAUGAAAGGAACGAAAACACCCCGUGACCGCGGCUAUUCAGCACGCGCGCUGGUUUGUCAUUUAAAAUAGCGCAGAGAUUUUAAGAAUCCAGCUCACGGAACGCGCGGGCAUCUCUUUCACUCGCUACUGGGGAGUGGGAUUCCGGGAGACAAACCGUCAAUCCGUCUCACAGCCACACGUAUUUUUCGGAAGCGCCUAGAGGGGCGAGCACCCCCACCCCCUGCACAUUCCUGCGCGCAUUCCUUCUCGCUCUGAAUGUAUGGCGGUGGCCUGUGUGUUUUCUGUGUGAAACCCGCUGGGGUCUUCUCGGCACGGCCAUUUAAGAUAGGACCCAGUUUAGUCGUCUGGCACGAGGACCUGCUUGUUUGUAGUCAGCAAGAAUCAAAGAAUCAAUCAAGGUUCUUCCAAGCUGUGAAGUGUCUAGUACUCAGGAAGCACCUGUUCUGAGGGCCCUGCCUCUCGGGAAAUACAUCAGCUCUAUCUUUGGAAGAGAACCUGCACUCUCCCAGCUGGAACACGCCUGUAGAGAUGACACAACUGUUGCUUAGGAAACAUGGUUGUGCCAAGGGAUCAACUGCUCCAAAAUACUCACUGUUCACUGCACUCCAUUGGAAAGACCUUUACUGAGACACCUGUUGUGCAUGAGAAACAUAAUGUGGAGGAACCUACUCUUCAGAGUUAUAGUAGUAGCCAUCUGCUGCACCAGAAACAUUAGGUACACAAUAAAAAAAGACUUGGUAUGGUGAACACUCGCUCAAGAAACAUAUCUUUGCAGAUAUUGUUCUCGGUCCUCAGCAGUGGCAUGUAAAGGGACCCAUUUGAGCAGAUGAGCCUGUUCCUUAACCCUUAAAGGAGUAACGUCACACUGGUGUGACGGAAAUGUUGGGAAAUGAACGUUC